RNA transcript from Triticum aestivum (bread wheat), 2943 nucleotides. RefSeq lists it as uncharacterized. The transcript is spliced from 2 exons. NCBI's taxonomy places the organism in Eukaryota, Viridiplantae, Streptophyta, Magnoliopsida, Poales, Poaceae. The record is from RefSeq and is a predicted model, not a curated record.
AUUCCACUCGACUCGACGCAGCCUGCAGCCAGAGAGUCCCAAACCCUAGCCUCGCCGGAAUGAGCCGCCCCUCGCCGGCGCCCGCGCUGGACGGCGGGGUCCUCCUCGAAGAGAUCCUCCUCCGCCUCCCUCCGCAGCCCUCCUCCCUCCCGCGCGCAUCCCUCGUGUGCACGCGCUGGCGCCGCAUCCUCUCCGACCCCGGCUUCCGCCGCCGCUUCCGCGAGCACCACGGCCGGAACAACCCACCGCCACUGCUCGGCUUCUUCGAAAAGGAAUUCCGCGUAGACAAGCCGCCCAUCUUCAACACCACGGCGACGGGCGAGCGGGACCGCAUCCCACCCGCGCGCUUCUCCGCGCCAUGGAGCCUGGGCGAGGGCUGGGAGUUUCUCGGCUGCCGCCACGGCCUCGCCCUCCUCAUCUGCCGGGCGCGCCGCGAGGCAAUCGUGUGGGAUCCCCUCACGGGCCACCGUCGCCGCGUCGCGUUUCCACCGGGGUGGAAGUCCGUCCAGAACGCCGCGGUGAUGUGCGCCGCCGCCGGCCAAGAUGGGCAUGUGCACGGUGACUGCCGGUUCUCCCCAUUUAGAUUGGCCUUGGUGCGCGGGGGUUCUAACGGCACACGCCAUUUUGCAUGCCUCUACGAGUCAGAAUCAGGUGUGUGGGGGGAUAUUGCUUCAGUAGAGACUGAACAUUCGACUUCGACUUGCAUUGCGAACCCCAGCGUCCUGCUUAGGAAUUCAUUUUGCUGGCUUCUGUCUGGAGGUGCCAUCCUGGAGUUUGAUUUUCAAAACCAGAGCCUUGCGGUUAUCCAGAAGCCGGCGGACGCUCAUGCUGCCGACUACUACUGGUCCUUUUACGUGGUACAGACAGAGCAUAGUAGCCUGGGCCUUGCUGUUUUGUCAGAGACAGAUUUUGUAAGCAGCAUCAUCCAAUUAUGGGAGAGGAAAUCUAACUGCGAUGGUGUUGUUGGAUGGGAGCUGCAGAAAACCAUUCAACUAGACGGGCUCUUUUCACCAGGACCGACCAUGGGGCAAAAUGCGGUGAUGAUGCAAGGGUACAAUGAGGACACCGAUGCGAUUUUCUUAUCUACCUUUUUCGGCAACUACAUGCUCCAGCUUGAGACCACACAGUUCACAAAUCUUCCUAAAACACGAAGAAAUUGCAUGUCUAGCAGGACCUUUUAUCCCUACAGAAAUUUCUACAUUACAUGUAAUUCCUUGUCUCUGUCUGUCAUGACUCCGCUUGUAUUGGCAUAUUCAGCAUGAGCUUUCUGAUGAACCGGUAAGCAGCAAGUGGGCAACAACUGCGCUAAAACUCUAUUGCGAAAACAUUUUAUAUCAUAAGUGUUAUUUGAUUUCCACAUGUGGAGUACUAUAUAUCUUCAUAUUAAUCAUAAAUUCAUAAUAGCUAUUGGCAUCUAUAUUAUCCUACAUUGGAAAAAAAUUACUAGUUUCAUUCAACCCGAAUAGUAGUGAGUAUUGUCAUUUGCCACUUAAGUUUCUCAAAUUGAGCUUUUGUUUUUUACCCAUUUGGUAUUACUGGAAGGAAACCUCUCCAGAAUAGUAAUUCUGUUUGAAACCUCUGGACAGCUAAACAGUCCUAACAUGUAAUUCAUUACUAGGUAAAUGAUAAUUGUCGCUCUACCUUGUGCCUAGCAGUAGGUGCUGUUCCAUUUCCCUAUUCCUACCUUUGUCAUAAAUGGUAGUUUUUGCCUUCUCAUCAUUUUAGCUCUUCCACGAAUUUUCUUCGGUUUAUUGGAAUCCUUUUACCUGCAGGUAGCAGAGUUGGUGGUCAAGAUGGUGGAGCUGAAAUGUCAAUUAAUUAGAUGAUUGUCCCAUUAGAUGCAAUGCAAGCUGCUUCGUGGAGCCACCUUAUUGUUCUUUUGACUGGGUGGCGGGCCACAUGCUCAAAUUAGUGACAUCUCAGAGAUGGUCACCACAGACCUGACAAUUUCAUUGUAUCUAAGCUGCAUUAGUACUGACUGUUGUUUCAUGUUUUAUUGUUUGCUCCGAAUUGUCGAGCUGGUAGACUGAAAUAUGCUGCAAGCCCUGCAGAUUAGCUAUUUAACUAGUAGGAAUUCAGUGACUGCAUGUCAGACCGCUUCAGUUCUUAUGUCAUGUCCUAGCAAGUGUGUACUGUUUUUAAUGGAGUAAUGAGUGGAACUGCCAAUAUCUUUCAGAUUUGAACUCCUUCCUUCACUAGUUUUUAUAGUUUUAGUUAUGAAAUGAUUAGAACUAAUGUUGCUGUAACAGCAAGCAUGAUGCAGCAUGAACACUAAAGAAUAUAUCCAUAGUUAUGGUCUUAAGGAACUGGUAUAGAGUUCUCUUAAGAAAGGUUUUUUUUAAUGAAAAGUUUAGUGUGAAUGGGGUGUAUCUUCUCAGAUUUGUUUGCCCACCUCUAUUUUAACUUGCAGGCGGCACCCAUACAUUGGCCUUCUGUCUUUGUUUGUCCUACUGAAAUACUAGUUUCUUUCAGCUCCUUGCUUUUCACUGACUCACUAUUUUUCAUGUUGAUCAGAGAAAUGUUUAACUUAUUUGCCUUGAAAAGAAUCAGCCAUCAUCCGUGCCCUGAUAUCUUCUUUGCGAAACUGUGUGCAUCGAUUCCUCAUUCGUGUGACUGAUAAGCAGAGCAAGGAACAAGGUUUGCGCACUUGUUCAACCUCAGCCAUUCAGGAAUGCAUUUCAAUUGGUGUUGGAAUGUUGCCGUAGAGCUACAAAGCAGGGCAUGUGGUUAAUAGCACCGAAAGUUUCCGAGUUCUCUCCUGCCUUUGCUUAUGACCAAUGUAACUAUUACUCCCUCCGUACCAUAUUAAUUGUUAUUAAAACAGAUGUAUCUAGAUAUAUUUUAGUAUUAGAUAUUGCCGUUUGAGCGGCAAUUAAUACGAGACGAAGGGAGUAUAUUCCAAAUCAAUGAAGUGCACCAGAUGGCUUUAACGUAAAAAACAAA